UGGGGAAUAUUGCACAAUGGGCGCAAGCCUGAUGCAGCAACGCCGCGUGAGGGACGACGGCCUUCGGGUUGUAAACCUCUUUUAGUAGGGAAGAAGCGAAAGUGACGGUACCUGCAGAAAAAGCACCGGCUAACUACGUGCCAGCAGCCGCGGUAAUACGUAGGGUGCGAGCGUUGUCCGGAAUUAUUGGGUGUAAAGAGCUCGUAGGCGGUCUGUCGCGUCUGCUGUGAAAACCCGAGGCUCAACCUCGGGCCUGCAGUGGGUACGGGCAGACUAGAGUGCGGUAGGGGAGAAUGGAAUUCCUGGUGUAGCGGUGGAAUGCGCAGAUAUCAGGAGGAACACCGAUGGCGAAGGCAGUUCUCUGGGCCGUAACUGACGCUGAGGAGCGAAAGCGUGGGGAGCGAACAGGAUUAGAUACCCUGGUAGUCCACGCCGUAAACGUUGGGCGCUAGAUGUGGGGACCAUUCCACGGUUUCCGUGUCGCAGCUAACGCAUUAAGCGCCCGCCUGGGGAGUACGGCCGCAAGGCU
This 529-nucleotide ribosomal RNA is filed under the name uncultured bacterium. RNAcentral's name for it is "partial 16S ribosomal RNA". It matches the Rfam family "Bacterial small subunit ribosomal RNA", at positions 355 to 895 of the family's 1533-position model. The record is from RNAcentral.